GAUGAAGAACGUAGCGAAAUGCGAUAAGUAAUGUGAAUUGCAGAAUUCGGUGAAUCAUCGAAUCUUUGAACGCACAUUGCGCCCCUCGGUAUUCCGAGGGGCAUGCCUGUUCGAGCGUCAUUAUAACCCUUCAAGCUCAGCUUGGUGUUGGGGCCUGCUGUAACUGGUAGCCCUUAAAAUCAGUGGCAGUGCUAUUAGGCUCUAAGCGUAGUAAUUCUUCUCGCUAUAGUGUGUAGUGAGCGCUUGCCAGAACCCCAAACUUUUAUAUGAUUGACCUCGGAUCAGGUAGGGAUACCCGCUGAACUUAAGCAUAUCAAUAAGCGGAGGA
This 328-nucleotide unclassified non-coding RNA is filed under the name soil metagenome. RNAcentral's name for it is "partial contains 5.8S ribosomal RNA, internal transcribed spacer 2, and large subunit ribosomal RNA". The stretch from base 1 to 120 matches the Rfam family "5.8S ribosomal RNA", at positions 35 to 154 of the family's 154-position model. The record is from RNAcentral.